This is a long non-coding RNA of Columba livia (rock pigeon), 2235 nucleotides long. RefSeq lists it as uncharacterized. The record is from RefSeq and is a predicted model, not a curated record. NCBI's taxonomy places the organism in Eukaryota, Metazoa, Chordata, Aves, Columbiformes, Columbidae. The transcript has 4 exons.
UUUAGACAGGACAGCAGCAUUCAUUUUGACUUUACUCUUUGCUAGGGGAACCCAGCCAUGGGCUCGCCAAUGAAGCAAAACUUCUGCCAGGCUCACCAGGUGAAGUCAGUCCUCCCCGAGACAGCUGAGCAGAACGAGACACCCCAGUGGCAUUUAACUGUGACACUGGAAUGGCACAUCCUCCCUCAGUGCCCUGCAGCUCUGACCACCACACUGAAAGAACCAUGGCAGACAGAAGAGAAGCUGAUGUUUUGAAAGAUGGCCUUGGUGUCCAGGAAUAGUGAUUGCAGGAAAACGGGCUGGAACAAUUAGCAACACUGAACCUGGAGAAGGCAUGGAUUAGAAGGACAUGACAGGGUUGUAUCCCCCUACGCACAUCAUGGAGAAGGAAAAUCCAUCUCUGCCCCGGCCCAAACAGCAUGAUUUUCAGCAUUUCUGUGGUGGCUGUCGCCUGGUGCUGAGGACUCAGUUCCAGGAAAUUUGUCUCACGGGGAUUAGACAUACUGCCAUCUGCAAUACAGACGUUUCUAUCAGCAGAUAUGACCAGGAAAACCUACUGUUUAUAAACUUGCACCUCGUUUAGGUUCACCUGAUAUUGACUGCCUUUGUCACUAUCAGAAUUCAGUCAAUAGAACAAGCUUCAAUAAAAUGGGAAAGUGACACAAAUGAAGAGUCCAAUAUAUUCUUGAGGUAAGUUCCCAAUAGCAUCUUCUGCGUGUCAUCAAGUAACACACAAUUAAAACCUGUGUCAAAUGUGCUUGGCUUAUUUUUAUUGACAGCUAAUCAGAAUCACACCAGCAAGUCUUCCAGAAGUAAAUAAGAAAUAAUAGAAAACUAUAUGCCUUAAUUUUUCAUUUUUCGAGUUUAUUUUUUUGAAAUAAUGGGUGCCAAGUGGCACCUAUAGCCAAGACUUGGCACAACACUGUGGUUCUAAGAAAACUUCCACCCAUUUAUAAACCUCUCUAGCCGUACCUCUUUUAGCAGCAUCAAAAACUAUAUCUGACUUUUAUGUGAGCUAUUUGAGUUGUUGCAUAAUUUGGUGAACAGACAUGUGCUGGAGGCUCCACAUAGGCCAAACAUAAGUGUUUCCAAGGUAUGGCAGGUUUGCAUUUGUGAAUAGCAUCCAUCUAACUUCUUUGGAGGCAUUUAAGAUUGUGAUUAAUUUAGUAUUAUUCUAAAUGGAUUAUCCUCAGCUUUAAGCAAAUGAAAUACAUAAGAAGAUUGUCAGGAUGAGAACACAAUAUUUUAGUGAAAUGAAUGGAUUAAAAAGAUAAGACAAAGGUCUGACUACUCAAUCAGCUAUAAUCUUGAUAAUCUUGAUGGCAGGCCUUGAGAAAUAUAGGUUAAUAUGUUUAAUGUUAGCUACUUCAACAGCCCUAAGAUUUAAAUGUAUUGUAAAAAAUUGUAAUUCUAAAUUUGAGAUAAUGGUUGGACUUUUAAAAUGUUUUCAAGGCAACAAAAAAUAAUUAUCUCGUUAUUUUGCUACCUCCACUCAUUCUGAGCCCUACCAUGCUGUCCCCAGUCAAGGUGAAAGGCACUACCCACACAAAGUAAAGAGUUUUUCAUUUGCAAACAAGGACAGCCUGCUCCCCCAUAUGAGGUCACUUCUCUUUGGAAGUGGGAACCUCUCAGGUGCCUGAGCUUAAUCCAACAGGGAUUAUGAAGGCAGCUCACAGCUAAGCAAAAAAUGAAAAUAAAAUUCAACAAGGCUGCAUCUCAAUAGGCCAGCCAGGUGCUGGAUAUGCUGUUGGGUCAUCUGUCACUCCUUAACAGGCAGUAGCCACAGCAGAGGGCAAGGAGCGAGCAGGGACACAAGCCCUCAAACGACCCCAUGUGUAUCAGCAGAGCUCAGGGCUGGUGCGAGGGAAAUCAUCGUUCACGGGAUGGAAGGAAAACAUAUACCACCUGGUCAUGAGCUCUCGUUUAUCCUGGGACUGAGGAUCCUGAGCUGAGGACCACACUGCCUGUUCCCCCACACUGCAAAAUUCCCUGCCCUCCCCCAGCUCAGGAACUCACACAGCAACAAAUUUGAGAUGAGUUGGUCUGUUAGAACAAAGUCACUAUCACUUACUGAGAGGGAGGUCAAGAGGAAAGCAAAGUAAAAUUAUGCACAGUCACAAAAUCACAGAAUGACUGGGGUUGGAAGGGACCUCUGGAGAUCAUCUAGUCCAACCCACCUGCUAAAGCAGGGUCACCUAGAGCAGAUUACACAGGAAUGUGUCCAGGUGGGUUUUG